UACGUAGGGUGCAAGCGUUGUCCGGAAUUAUUGGGCGUAAAGAGCUCGUAGGCGGUUUGUCGCGUCUGCUGUGAAAACCCGAGGCUCAACCUCGGGCCUGCAGUGGGUACGGGCAGACUAGAGUGCGGUAGGGGAGAUUGGAAUUCCUGGUGUAGCGGUGGAAUGCGCAGAUAUCAGGAGGAACACCGGUGGCGAAGGCGGGUCUCUGGAACGCAACUGACGCUGAGACGCGAAAGCGUGGGGAGCAAACAGG
RNAcentral lists this ribosomal RNA (253 nucleotides) under uncultured bacterium. Its description in RNAcentral is "partial 16S ribosomal RNA". It matches the Rfam family "Bacterial small subunit ribosomal RNA", at positions 524 to 776 of the family's 1533-position model. The record is from RNAcentral.